UGUUUUGUCAAUGUGGAACCAUUGUCUCGUUGUCCCUCCUACUGCAAUAAUUGCUGUGACACUUGUCUCUAUGUAUGCGUUGGACACGCCUUCCUACUUCCCUUUCGUCCACGAUAACGGGAGAGGUAGGCGUCCACGCGACGACAGAUAAAGUGCAUUUGUCUCGUUAAGAACUUAAGUUCACUUUCUUGUUCUGUAUUAUAUUUGUGUAGGGGCUUGACGAUGGCAGAACAAUUUUGACAUUUGUAUUCUCUGUAUUGUCAGUAAAGUGCAUCUGAGCAACAACCCAUGGUGUCGGUCGUGUUCCAUAAAGUCCACACAACGCAGAGGAAAAGACCACCGGUUACAUAAGUUCCACUUCGCCAAAGGGCUUGCUUGAUUGGAGUUUAAUUUGUUUUUGUUCAACAAUUGACGCAAGCAUGAACACAGAGAAGACAUCCCAAAGAGGACAAAUAGUACACCAGACCUGUCUCUCGGUCAGACUGGACCUGCCUCCUCUCAUCUGCAAAAGCUCGGAGCCAGCGUUGUUUCUGUUCGGCUUUCUUGGCCGUCAGGAGAUGAACCU
Long non-coding RNA from Nerophis lumbriciformis (worm pipefish), 565 nucleotides. RefSeq lists it as uncharacterized. The record is from RefSeq and is a predicted model, not a curated record. NCBI's taxonomy places the organism in Eukaryota, Metazoa, Chordata, Actinopteri, Syngnathiformes, Syngnathidae.